GGCGUGGUAGACAAAUUGGUAAAGUCACCUGACUUUCAAUCAGGCGCAGAGUAUUCUGCUUGAGGGUUCAAGCCCCUUCCACGUCA
Molecule: transfer RNA, 86 nt
Filed under: compost metagenome
Description: tRNA-Glu
Rfam family: tRNA
About the family: Transfer RNA (tRNA) molecules are approximately 80 nucleotides in length. Their secondary structure includes four short double-helical elements and three loops (D, anti-codon, and T loops).
Source: RNAcentral